This 337-nucleotide unclassified non-coding RNA is filed under the name soil metagenome. Its description in RNAcentral is "partial contains 5.8S ribosomal RNA, internal transcribed spacer 2, and large subunit ribosomal RNA". The stretch from base 1 to 120 matches the Rfam family "5.8S ribosomal RNA", at positions 35 to 154 of the family's 154-position model. The record is from RNAcentral.
GAUGAAGAACGUAGCGAAAUGCGAUAAGUAGUGUGAAUUGCAGAAUUCAGUGAAUCAUCGAAUCUUUGAACGCUCAUUGCGCCCCUUGGUAUUCCAUGGGGCAUGCCUGUUCGAGCGUCAUUUGUACCUUCAAGCUUUGCUUGGUGUUGGGUGUUUGUCUCGCCUCCGCGUGUAGACUCGCCUCAAAACAAUUGGCAGCCGGCGUAUUGAUUUCGGAGCGCAGUACAUCUCGCGCUUUGCACUCACAACGACGACGUCCAAAAGUACAUUUUUACACUCUUGACCUCGGAUCAGGUAGGGAUACCCGCUGAACUUAAGCAUAUCAAUAAGCGGAGGA